Molecule: ribosomal RNA, 253 nt
Filed under: uncultured bacterium
Lineage: Bacteria
Description: partial 16S ribosomal RNA
Rfam family: Bacterial small subunit ribosomal RNA
Source: RNAcentral
UACGUAGGCAGCAAGCGUUGUUCGGAAUUACUGGGCGUAAAGAGCUCGUAGGCGGUUUGCUAAGUUUGGUGUGAAAUCUCCCGGCUUAACUGGGAGGGUGCGCCGAAAACUGGCAGACUCGAGUGCGGGAAAGGAAAGCGGAAUUCCUGGUGUAGCGGUGAAAUGCGUAGAUAUCAGGAGGAACACCUGUGGUGUAGACGGCUUUCUGGACCGUAACUGACGCUGAGGAGCGAAAGCGUGGGUAGCAAACAGG